GGUCUCACUAUGCAGUUCAGGUUGCCCUGAACUCACUUUGUAGCCCAGGCUGGCCUUGAACUCACAGCAAUCCUCCUGCCUCAGCCUUCCGAGUGCUGGGAUUACAGGUAUGUGCUACCAUGCC
This 124-nucleotide microRNA precursor is filed under the name Octodon degus (degu). RNAcentral describes it as "miRNA (ENSODEG00000021992.1)". The record is from RNAcentral. Lineage: Eukaryota; Metazoa; Chordata; Mammalia; Rodentia; Octodontidae.